Molecule: ribosomal RNA, 862 nt
Filed under: uncultured Chloroflexota bacterium
Lineage: Bacteria; Bacillati; Chloroflexota
Description: bacterial SSU rRNA
Rfam family: Bacterial small subunit ribosomal RNA
Source: RNAcentral
GAUAAACGCUGGCGGUGUGCUUUAUGCAUGCAAGUCGUACGGUAUUAACAGACCAAGCUUGCUUGGUCUGUUAAGAGAGUGGCAGACGGGUGAGUAACGCGUAAGUAAUCUGCCCUCAAGUAGGGGAUAACCUUGAGAAAUUGGGGCUAAUACCUUAGUGGUGGUGGAGGUAAUGCUUCAUCACUAAAGCCGCAAGGCGCUUGGGGAGGAACUUGCGUCCGAUUAGCUUGUUGGUAGGGUAACGGCUUACCAAGGCGAUGAUCGGUAGCUGGUCUGAGAGGAUGGUCAGCCACACUGGGACUGAGAUACGGCCCAGACUCCUACGGGAGGCAGCAGCAAGGAAUAUUGGGCAAUGGGCGAAAGCCUGACCCAGCGACACCGCGUGGGGGAUGACGGCCUUCGGGUUGUAAACCCCUUUUCUCAGGGAAGAAAAAAAUGACGGUACCUGAGGAAUAAGUCUCGGCUAACUACGUGCCAGCAGCCGCGGUAAUACGUAGGAGGCGAGCGUUAUCCGGAUUUACUGGGCGUAAAGGGGGCGUAGGCGGCUUUUCAAGUUGGAUGUGAAAUCUCCCUGCUUAACGGGGAGGGGUCAUUCAAUACUGUUAAGCUGGAGGGCAGCAGAGGAAGGUGGAAUUCCCGGUGUAGUGGUGAAAUGCGUAGAUAUCGGGAGGAACACCAGUGGCGAAGGCGGCCUUCUGGGCUGUUCCUGACGCUGAGGCCCGAAAGCGCGGGGAGCGAACAGGAUUAGAUACCCUGGUAGUCCGCGCAGUAAACGAUGGACACUUGGUAUAGGGAGUAUCGACCCUCUCUGUGCCUUAGUUAACGCGUUAAGUGUCCCGCCUGGGGAGACGGCCGCAAGGCU